Phascolarctos cinereus (koala) is the source of this 438-nucleotide long non-coding RNA. RefSeq lists it as uncharacterized. NCBI's taxonomy places the organism in Eukaryota, Metazoa, Chordata, Mammalia, Diprotodontia, Phascolarctidae. The record is from RefSeq and is a predicted model, not a curated record.
UUUCAGAUGCAGGAAUCAGAGGAGCUUAGGUAGAAGAGCUCAAAGCGACCUUACAAGCCGUCUGGACCAACUCCCCUCCUUUUACUGCAGAAACAGGCCUAGAGACAGUCAUUGACUUGCCUUAAGUCACAGACGCAGAAUUCAUCAACACCUCUCUAUAAGGCAGUUUCUCUUUACGCAAUUGGGUACAUUUCAGAGACUCUAUUGUAUAAAGAUCGUGAAGACCUGGAGGUUCAGAGAAGCAUGAACCAGAUGCAUUUAGGGAUUGAAAAGAGGCUCUGAAGGAAAAGGAUCGAGCAGAACAAGAGAAUUCCCACGAUAGCACUUCAUGUACGGUCCAGAGCUUUCACUUUCUUCUCAAGUCAUUCUAUAAGAAUAGAAACUAUUUGACGGAUCUUCUGAGCUGUUUUUCUCUAACAAUUAAAAACAAUUAAAAUA